Molecule: ribosomal RNA, 598 nt
Filed under: uncultured bacterium
Lineage: Bacteria
Description: bacterial SSU rRNA
Rfam family: Bacterial small subunit ribosomal RNA
Source: RNAcentral
UCCUACGGGUGGCAGCAGUGGGGAAUAUUGCGCAAUGGACGAAAGUCUGACGCAGCGACGCCGCGUGGAGGAUGAAGGUUUUCGGAUCGUAAACUCCUGUCAAGAGGGAAGAAACCUAUUAUGAAUAAUACUCAUAGUAAUUGACGGUACCUCUAGAGGAAGCACCGGCUAAUUCAGUGCCAGCAGCCGCGGUAAUACUGAAGGUGCAAGCGUUAAUCGGAAUCACUGGGCGUAAAGCGCUCGUAGGUGGCUUUGUAAGUCAGGUGUGAAAGCCCACGGCUCAACCGUGGAAUUGCACUUGAUACUGCAUCGCUAGAGUAUAGGAGAGGGAAGUGGAAUUUCUGGUGUAGGAGUGAAAUCCGUAGAGAUCAGAAGGAACACCCGUGGCGAAGGCGACUUCCUGGACUAUUACUGACACUGAGGAGCGAAAGCGUGGGGAGCAAACAGGAUUAGAUACCCUGGUAGUCCACGCCGUAAACGAUGGGUACUAGGUGUUGGGGGCUUGACCCUCGGUGCCGUAAUUAACGCGUUUAAGUAGCCCGCCUGUGGACUACUGACCCAAGGCUCACACUCGAAACAAACUGACAGGGACGCCCAA